CCCGGCUGGCCCGUUAUCAAGGUCUGCCUUGUGCGGUUAUCUCGUGUUCCCCCUUUCACUUUCUCCACAUUGCCCCUUUCCUAUUUAUUGCCGAGGACGAAAACGUAACUGAGCUACAGGUCACUACGUUUUUAGUACUUUGGAAAACGAACAGUUUCUCAACUUGUCCCGAGGGUAGCAUCAAUUCCCUUUUCGAGUUGUCGAUAGCUAUUACCGAACUUGUUGUUAGUUAUUUCUUUUUUUUUUUUUUUUCAAACAUUUCAGUUUGUGCAAUAUGUAACAUUUCCUCAAACAUUAAUUCUAAACUGGUAAAGAUACUGUGUGAUCUUAGGACUACGGAGUGAUGAAGCUGUUGUUUUGCUUGUCUUUCUAUUUGGGUCUGUCAGAUGUGUUUUGGCAUUUUACUAUGAUCAGUGGUUGUGAUGGAUCUUUUUUGUCAGUUUGUCCCACCCUGCUUAUAACCCCGACCCACUCGUUCUCCAGCCAGGCAGGCCAAAGCACGCUGAAACGCGUAUUUCCUUUGCUUCUUCAAGAACCUUGGCCGUACCCAUAAACCAAGGCAACUAUAAAGCUGACGCCCUUGCAAGAAAAGGACCCGAGCCCUUCUGUGGCACACACAGGAUUCUUAACAGUAUAAUGCAAACUAAAUGGACAUCUGAAGAAGAUUGGUGUAACACAACGCGGCAAAUGCAGAUUCUGGAAAGAAGCUAAGGAAACAUCAACACAACUACUAAUAAACUGUGGAGCCACACUUGUCCGCAGAAGAGAUUUAAAUAUUUUAAAAUACGAUUUUAAAGUUUUCCUAAUUUUUUAUUUUGUUCUUCUACACUUUCUCCUUCGGCAUUUGUAUAUUUCAUGUACACGUAAGAAUUUGUUCUUAAGAUCCUAAGAUAGUACUCAAAGGAAAAGACGUUUAGGUACAAAACUAAAUUCAUUACGUCUGUUUCGAAAUGCUAUAUGACGUCUCUAAAGAACAUAGACAGAAAAUUUAGUUUCAUUCUUAUUCUGUAAGUCUUUUACU
This is an RNA transcript of Cimex lectularius (bed bug), 1021 nucleotides long. It is a transcript of the gene named transcription factor Sp3-like, with no coding region annotated. The record is from RefSeq and is a predicted model, not a curated record. The transcript is spliced from 2 exons. Lineage: Eukaryota; Metazoa; Arthropoda; Insecta; Hemiptera; Cimicidae.